UACAGAGGGUGCAAGCGUUGCUCGGAAUCACUGGGCGUAAAGCGCACGUAGGUGGAUUGUUAAGUCAGGGGUGAAAUCCUGGAGCUCAACUCCAGAACUGCCUUUGAUACUGGCGAUCUUGAGUCCGGGAGAGGUGAGUGGAACUCCGAGUGUAGAGGUGAAAUUCGUAGAUAUUCGGAAGAACACCAGUGGCGAAGGCGGCUCACUGGCCCGGUACUGACGCUGAGGUGCGAAAGCGUGGGGAGCAAACAGG
This 253-nucleotide ribosomal RNA is filed under the name uncultured bacterium. Its description in RNAcentral is "partial 16S ribosomal RNA". It matches the Rfam family "Bacterial small subunit ribosomal RNA", at positions 524 to 776 of the family's 1533-position model. The record is from RNAcentral.